Oryzias melastigma (Indian medaka) is the source of this 405-nucleotide long non-coding RNA. RefSeq lists it as uncharacterized. The record is from RefSeq and is a predicted model, not a curated record. The transcript is spliced from 3 exons. NCBI's taxonomy places the organism in Eukaryota, Metazoa, Chordata, Actinopteri, Beloniformes, Adrianichthyidae.
UCUUUGAUUCCGUCAUUGGGGCGGGAUCAGGACGGUUUGGCCCACACCGCUCUCCGUAGAUCUGGGCCUGGGCGUCGUUCGUAUCUUCUGCUCCUGCUGCGUAGGAGUCAAACCCUCACAACACUUCAGCAGCACGACUUGUAGGCGUUUAGUUAUAUAACUAGAACCUAAUAUAAAACCAAAAUCAUGUGUUCUGUUACGUUAGAAAACAAUGGUUCUCCGAAGAAACGGAUGCUGUCCCGGGGAAUGAGUGAAGAUGAGUCACUCCGAAGCAUUAUAAAAGAGAGCGAGACUCCAACCAGGCGGCUGACUCGAAGCGACAGCCGGGGAGGCACCCUGAGGAGGAGGACCGACGUCCAGCAGUUGGACCAGGAUCUCCUUAUGGGACUGCCUGAAAUGGUAACU